Molecule: ribosomal RNA, 188 nt
Filed under: uncultured bacterium
Lineage: Bacteria
Description: partial 16S ribosomal RNA
Rfam family: Bacterial small subunit ribosomal RNA
Source: RNAcentral
UUGUUAGUUGCCAGCGGGAAUGCCGGGGACUCUAGCGAGACUGCCGUUGAUCAAAACGGAGGAAGGUGGGGACGACGUCAAGUCAUCAUGGCCCUUAUGGCCUGGGCUACAAACGUGCUACAAUGGCUCCGUACAAAGGGUACGCGAAGCCGCGAGGUGUAGCGCAAUCCCAUCAAAGCGGGCCCCAG